AAUGAACGCUGGCGGCAGGCCUAACACAUGCAAGUCGAACGGAUCCUUCGGGAUUAGUGGCGGACGGGUGAGUAACGCGUGGGAACAUACCCAAAGGUACGGAAUAGCCUCGGGAAACUGGGAGUAAUACCGUAUGUGCUCGAAAGAGGAAAGAUUUAUCGCCUUUGGAUUGGCCCGCGUUGGAUUAGGUAGUUGGUGGGGUAAUGGCCUACCAAGCCGACGAUCCAUAGCUGGUUUGGGAGGAUGAUCAGCCACACUGGGACUGACACGGCCCAGACUCCUACGGGAGGCAGCAGUGGGGAAUCUUAGACAAUGGGGGAAACCCUGAUCUAGCCAUGCCGCGUGAUCGAUGAAGGCCUUAGGGUUGUAAAGAUCUUUCAGGUGGGAAGAUAAUGACUGUACCACCAGAAGAAGCCCCGGCUAACUCCGUGCCAGCCGCCGCGGUAA
RNAcentral lists this ribosomal RNA (447 nucleotides) under uncultured bacterium. RNAcentral's name for it is "partial 16S ribosomal RNA". It matches the Rfam family "Bacterial small subunit ribosomal RNA", at positions 29 to 523 of the family's 1533-position model. The record is from RNAcentral.